AGCGAACGCUGGCGGCAGGCUUAACACAUGCAAGUCGAGCGGGCAUCCUUGUGGUGUCAGCGGCAGGCGGGUGAGUAACGCGUGGGAACGUGCCCUUCGGUUCGGAAUAACUCAGGGAAACUUGAGCUAAUACCGGAUACGUGCGAGAGCAGAAAGGUUUAUCUGCCGAAGGAUCGGCCCGCGUCUGAUUAGCUAGUUGGUGAGGUUAUGGCUCACCAAGGCGACGAUCAGUAGCUGGUCUGAGAGGAUGAUCAGCCACACUGGGACUGAGACACGGCCCAGACUCCUACGGGAGGCAGCAGUGGGGAAUAUUGGACAAUGGGGGCAACCCUGAUCCAGCCAUGCCGCGUGAGUGAUGACGGCCUUAGGGUUGUAAAGCUCUUUUCUCCGGGACGAUAAUGACGGUACCGGAGGAAUAAGCCCCGGCUAACUUCGUG
Molecule: ribosomal RNA, 437 nt
Filed under: uncultured bacterium
Lineage: Bacteria
Description: partial 16S ribosomal RNA
Rfam family: Bacterial small subunit ribosomal RNA
Source: RNAcentral